CUCAACCUAGAACCAAACUCAACCCCUCCGUCAACAUAAAAGCUUCAGCCGGUGUUCGGAAAGAAGAUAUCGUCAUCGUCGGAGCUGGGAUUGCUGGUCUCGCCACUGCAGUGUCUCUUCGCAGGUCUGUAAAAAAAAAAAAAAGAAAUUUUUGCCAUUUAAUUUGUUUUCAUGUUAAGAGAUUAAAAUCAUAUAUAUACAUAAUCAGGCUAGGGAUUGGGUCAGUGGUGCUUGAGCAAGCAGCGUCGCUUAGAACUGGUGGAACCUCACUUACCCUUUUCAAGAAUGGGUGGCGGGUAUUGGAUGCCAUUGGUGUUGCAGAUACUCUUAGGGGCCAAUUUCUUGAAAUUCAAGGGUAUAUAUGUCAAUUUCACAUGCUUCUUGCUAAUUCUAACGGAUAUUUAUACAAAAACCAAACAUUCUAAAGUGCGUUUCAAAGCUUUAAUCUCGGUACUUUAAUAACAAAAAUUAUAAUAAAAUUAUUAACAAUUUUAAUAUUUUUCAUCGAAAUUUGAUUGUUAUAAGAUAUGCUUACGCAAAAUAUUAAAUUAUAAAAACAAAUUUAACUCCUAAUAUUUAUCAAACUUCGGGGACUUGGAACCUACGUUUUUAGACCUAAUUAGUUAUGGCUUACCAUAUUCUGAACUUGUUAAUUGCAUCAGCUGUGCAGGAUGGUGGUGAACUCAGAAGAUGGAAGGGAGUUACGCUCCUUCAAAUUCAAAGACGAAGAUCAAACGUAAUGAACAUUCUUUGGAGACAAUUGUUUUCUUUGUUUCGACAAACUAAUAUUCUAACCUUUUUUAUUUCGGCAGCCAAGAAGUUCGUGCAGUGGAGCGGAGAAUACUACUGGAGACGCUUGCCAACGAGUUACCACCUGAGACAGUUCGGUUCUCUUCCAAAUUAGCAAAGAUUCAAUCGAGUGAAAAUGGUGAAACUCUUUUGCAACUUACCGAUGGGACUACGUUGCUGGCAAAGGUUAGUAGACCUCAAGUUUCAACGUUGUCAUUUUGAAAGAAAUCAGGUUAUUGAAUAUGUUUCUUCAACAGAUUGUUAUUGGUUGUGAGGGAAUUAGAUCUCCGAUAGCCAAGUGGAUGGGUUUCUCCGAGCCGAGGUAUGUAGGAUAUAGUGCUUUCCGUGGACUUGGAGUUUAUCCCGAUGGGCAGCCAUUUGCAGCAAAUGUUAAUUAUAUCUACGGAAGAGGUUUGCGUGCUGGAUAUGUUCCGGUGUCUCCUACAAAAGUUUACUGGUUUAUCUGCUAUAACAGUCCCUCCUCUCCAGGUUUUUUUUUUCGAUCUAUUAUUUUACUUUAAGAUUCAAUCAUAAAAUGAAGUAACGAAUUACCUUAUAACGAUCCUUCUGACAUGUCUUGUUGCAGGUCCCAAGAUUACUGAUCCAGCUUUGCUGAGGAAGCAAGCAAAGGAACUCGUAAACAACUGGCCUGAAGAGUUAAUUAGAUUGAUUGAUCUCAGCCCAGAUGAGACGAUCAG
This 1487-nucleotide long non-coding RNA is filed under the name Gossypium barbadense (sea-island cotton). RNAcentral describes it as "long non-coding RNA (GBAR_LNC001855)". The record is from RNAcentral. Lineage: Eukaryota; Viridiplantae; Streptophyta; Magnoliopsida; Malvales; Malvaceae.